GAAAAGCUCUUCUAGAUCAGCGCCAUCUAGAGACAUACUUCAGACUGCAGCGCUUGAAAGAUGUGAUGUCCAAUCAGCAUGCUACAUUAAUGAGGGGAAAAAUUCAAAGACAAAGACAAGAGAUGAAGCUCUAUGAUUCCAGACCUAGAGAAGGACAUAGAGAACAGACACUUGUCAGCCUUCAGAGGGCCACCAGAUCAACCCUCACACAUGAUGAUGCAUACCUGAGGUGUCUGCCUAAAACACGCUACUAUCUGGUGAGGCCAGCAUUAUAUCCUGCUUUCUCUCUCCGUAGAUAUUUACUUGGACUUUAAGUGAUUAGACUUUAAAUGAUUAAAAUGCACAUUAUUAACCAUCUCUAAUCUGGCGUUCAUGAGGUUCUGGAAUUGCAGAAAGGGCUUAAACGACUCUGGUGUCUUCAGAGCCGCAGGGAAUGGGGGUUCAGGGUCUGGACAGAACCACACAGAAGCACAUGUCAACUUGAGAAGCAACUACAAGCAGCGGAUGCCAGUCUCAGUAAGAGUGGGUGGAGGAGGGGUGAACGCUUUCCAACAGCAGGGCAAACAGAGUUUGGGACAAGACGAAACUGAGCUCAUGUUUCUUGAGGUAAGUGUCAAACCACAGUGUCUGUGAUCCCAUUAAGCAGCAGUGAGACAAGCACACCUGCAGCAGUCUCACACACAAACAGACAUAACCCUCACUUUCAUCUACACUAUAGACACCACAGACAGGUGAACUUCUAAAAAGAGAAUUAAUGUUUAUAAAAAGAAUUCUAGAUAUAAUAGUUUUCCUUUCAAAAAAAAAAAAAAAAAAAUUUAGAACUGAAAGGCUUUUAUAAGAGGGAAAAAAUCUUUACAGUGUUUGCUCGACAGCACGGAUUUCAUUACACAAUUUACUGAUUAUAUGGUUUGUUCUAAAUACGUUAUGUAACUUCUGUAAGCACACUCAGUGUAGUUGUGAACGGUCUACUUUCUGUUUACAUUCGGAAUUAAUCUAUUUUCAACAUCAAGAACUUUUUUAACCUCUGAAAAAUUAUAUAUUAGCAUUUCCAGUGCUGGGUAGAUUACUUACAAAUUGUAGUCUGUUACUGAUUACAUAUUACAUACAUGUUAAAAAUUACAUUUAGUAAUGUAAUUAAGAUUACUAAUUUGUGUAUUCUGAACACUUUUGGAUUAUUUCUAGAUUACUUUUGACAUAACUUUUUUUUUAUAAAUUUAAAUUGGAUUACUGUUAUAAAAAAAGAAAGAAAGAAAAAAAUGUAUCACCAUUAACCAACAUCAGAGAACAUGCAAAUGUGUUGUUAAAUUAUUGAAAUAUUAUCUUUAAAUCUCAGGGGGAUCCCUGCAUUACAUUAACAAAAACAUUAGAAAGAGAAGAAGAAGAAGAAAAAAGAAUCAUGCAUACUUUACUGCCCUUGUGUGAAUAAUUUGUAAUCAUGUAAUCCAUAAAGAAGUAACUGUAAACUGAUUAUGAGCAUUUCUUAAUUUUUGGAAUGUAAUUAAUGUAGUUCACAUGUAAUCAGUUACUACCAGCACUGGCAAUUUUACUAAUUGAUAUUAUAAUCAAUUCCGCUCGGUCCGGUCCGACUGGCACUUGAACCAUUGACAGACAGCAUGGGAGUCAGAUGCACUAAGGAAGCAGUCUUUAUAGAAUCAGCUGCGAGCACACCUCUUAAAUCUGGGGAACUGAGGUUUACCUGCACAACAUCUUGUACCAGCUUGGCUCCAUUACACAUAUGCCACUAAACCUAUCAUCCGGGUCAUGGCACCACUGUAAACGAUUCUGCUUGUGGAUUUAAUUGACGAUUGCCAGUAUGGGAGUUGGGCAGACUUGCAACAGCGCUAAAGACCACAGCUUUUUUUUAAUGUUAGUCGCUAGUGCACCUAUUAAAGCCAGGAGCUGGCCUCUGUUACACUCACGCCUCUAAACCUCACUCUCACCCGGGUCAUGGCACUACUGUAACAGUUCAGCUCAGGGAACAAACCAAUUAUUACCAGCACGGGAGCUGGACACACUAACAAUGGUGCUAAUGACUACAGCCUUCUAGUGUCAGUUGCUUGUGCACCUCUCGAGGCCAGGGGAGUGAGGUUUACCUGCACAGCUACCUUGUACCACCUGGUCUCCAUUACAUAUACAAUGCAAAAUGUUUUUGAUAAGAAGAACCAGUAAAGGACCUGUAUAUGUAAUAGUGUUGAUCUGUGAAGUCUAGAAAAUAAUCCAUCACUAAAAAGUCUAGAGGUGAAAAACUAAAGCCUCAGUGGUUUGUGGAAGACUUGUUUAAUUGGAAAACUUAGAUAUUAAAAGAAUCUUAACUGAAGUGAAAAAAGCCAUACAGGCUGAAGGUGUGCCCAGCGGUUGAUGUUGCUUAACUGAAAACUAUGGGAAUUGUUGGAGUCAAAUUUUUUUUUACUGAAAAUCUAGGAUAUAUUAUGGAUUUUUGCUGCCUGCUAUAUGAAAACUGCUGUUAAAGUAGUUGACUGCAAGACGACAGUUGUUGCCAGAGUCCAGACCGCAUGGAGGUGAGAGAAGAGGAGGAAGAGAAGGAGCAGUGAAGCUGGGAUGACAGUGGAACCUGUAGAAAGACACGUUUUUCUCACACCUCCCUGUCAUUGUGGACGUGUGCAAACAGAGCACUGGUCUGGAGGAGGGAGUGUGAUGGCAAACAUCGGGCAGACAAGAGUUGGGAAGAACCAGCAGUCAGGGGUAUUACUUAACCUUGCAGCCCACUUACAGCUGCAACACACAAGAAAGCACAGUCGGUACUAGACAUCUAUCACAUGGACAAACGUGAGAUUUUUUUACAUUUUUAUGAGAAAAUGUCUCUGUUUUACACAUAUUAGCCUUUGAACUGAAUACUUUAUUGCAUUAGAUAAUAAAUAUUUCAUUUUUUUCA
Cyprinus carpio (common carp) is the source of this 2893-nucleotide long non-coding RNA. The record is from Ensembl. NCBI's taxonomy places the organism in Eukaryota, Metazoa, Chordata, Actinopteri, Cypriniformes, Cyprinidae.